CAGUCGCCGCGGGAAUACGAAGGGUGCAAGCGUUACUCGGAAUUACUGGGCGUAAAGGGCGCGUAGGCGGACAGUUUAGUCGGGGGUGAAAGCCCGGGGCUCAACCCCGGAACUGCCUUCGAUACUGGCUGUCUUGAGUACGGGAGAGGUGUGUGGAACUCCGAGUGUAGAGGUGAAAUUCGUAGAUAUUCGGAAGAACACCAGUGGCGAAGGCGACACACUGGCCCGUUACUGACGCUGAUGCGCGAAAGCGUGGGGAGCAAACGGGAUUAGAUACCCCUGUAGUCCCUGUCUCUUAUAC
This 301-nucleotide ribosomal RNA is filed under the name uncultured bacterium. RNAcentral's name for it is "partial 16S ribosomal RNA". It matches the Rfam family "Bacterial small subunit ribosomal RNA", at positions 509 to 807 of the family's 1533-position model. The record is from RNAcentral.